Molecule: non-coding RNA, 166 nt
Filed under: bovine gut metagenome
Source: RNAcentral
UUUCGGUCAGCCCACAAGGGCUGAUAAUAGGGAACCGGGUGCAAAUCCCGGGCAGUCCCGCUGCUGUGAGCCUCAACAAGUUAGGCGCUCCACGAGCCACUGCACGCUGUCAUAGGCGUGUGGGAAGGCGGAGCGCCGGAGGCAAGCCAGAAGACCUGCCGCGACC